This 76-nucleotide transfer RNA is filed under the name Legionella sp. RNAcentral's name for it is "tRNA-Glu". It matches the Rfam family "tRNA". From Rfam's summary of the family: Transfer RNA (tRNA) molecules are approximately 80 nucleotides in length. Their secondary structure includes four short double-helical elements and three loops (D, anti-codon, and T loops). Further hydrogen bonds mediate the characteristic L-shaped molecular structure. tRNAs have two regions of fundamental functional importance: the anti-codon, which is responsible for specific mRNA codon recognition, and the 3' end, to which the tRNAs corresponding amino acid is attached (by aminoacyl-tRNA synthetases). tRNAs cope with the degeneracy of the genetic code in two manners: having more than one tRNA (with a specific anti-codon) for a particular amino acid; and 'wobble' base-pairing, i.e. permitting non-standard base-pairing at the 3rd anti-codon position. Lineage: Bacteria; Pseudomonadati; Pseudomonadota; Gammaproteobacteria; Legionellales; Legionellaceae. RNAcentral also lists the same sequence under 23 other names. The record is from RNAcentral.
GUCCCCAUCGUCUAGAGGCCCAGGACAUCGCCCUUUCACGGCGGUAACGGGGGUUCGAAUCCCCCUGGGGACGCCA